RNAcentral lists this ribosomal RNA (218 nucleotides) under uncultured bacterium. RNAcentral describes it as "partial 16S ribosomal RNA". It matches the Rfam family "Bacterial small subunit ribosomal RNA", at positions 328 to 539 of the family's 1533-position model. The record is from RNAcentral.
ACGCUCGACACCUACGGGAGGCAGCAGUGAGGAAUAUUGGUCAGUGGGCGCUAGCCUGAACCAGCCAAGUAGCGUGAAGGAUGAAGGCUCUAUGGGUCGUAAACUUCUUUUAUAUAAGAAUAAAGUGCAGUAUGUAUACUGUUUUGUAUGUAUUAUAUGAAUAAGGAUCGGCUAACUCCGUGCCGGCAGCCGCGGUAAUCUGAGCGGGCUGGCAAGGC